UCUUUCGCUCUCUCUCUCUCUCUCUCUGACCACUCCCGCAAGAAUCGUUGACCGCGUGCGGUCAUUGCUGCUGCUGCUGCAAUUAAUUAAUUGAUUAAAGUGCUCAAAACCAAUCCAAUUGCAACGAAAUUUGUGUGAAAAUGUGGGCAAAUGUCUGGCCGGUCGAGUAGUGUAAUUAGUUUUGUGCAAAGUCGGCGUUAAAUAUGCAUAAAAUGUGUGUUUUAAUUGCGAAUUGCACAAUAUGCGUUGCCAGCAUUCAAACGCUGCUGGAAGGACAUAUAAUGAAGCUCAUUGCUAGAAUACUUGCCACACUCUUCAGUCAUACCCUCUACGAAGGGUAUAAUAAACCCAUUGUGUGAAUUGCACGGAGUGCUGUGCGGGCUGCGGUGUGUGGCCAUUGUAAGGCCUCCUGGGCCUCCUCACUAGGCCUGGAAAUUAGCAUACAAACUGUCUGGCAGAAAAUCCACCCAUUGAGCGAGGGAACGGGAACCGACUCGAACCAGUUUUUGUCUCUGGAAAUCAUUGCUGUUGUCAGUUCUUGUUCGCCUGCCUGCCCGUGACGUGGCAACACUGACAGGACAACUUUGACAGCCCAGAGACAGCGAGGACUAAGCUUCUGCUAAUGUCAACAGCAAACAGUUCAAAUUGUGCAAAAAAAAAAUAAAAUAAAAAUAAGAACGAAAGACAAACAAAAAGAUAAAUGUGGGAAAGAAAUGUGCGAAAAGAAAGCGACUAGAAAUUCGAAGAACUAAUUGAGCGUGUCUCAUGAGGUUUCAGCACUUGAAACGAAGAAGCGAAGCGGCAACCGGCUGCUCGACUACCGACUACCGAGAACUCAAUUUACUUUUUCAUUAAAGCGAAAGACGACGCUGGCGAUGAAGAGGUUGAGCGAAUGGAUGGAUGGACGGAUGGUUGGAUGGAGGGAUGGUUGGAUGCGGAGAUGCGGUGGAGAGCACUUGAAUGCAGCUCCAAUUAUGGAGAGAAACUCGUGACGUCAGUUGGCGGCUCAUAAUGAAAACAUUUAACCUGUCGUCGUCAGUGAUUCGAUUCGAUUCGAACAACAUGAAAAUCAUUCCUCCUUCAGAGCAAAAGAAAAAGA
This is a long non-coding RNA of Drosophila pseudoobscura, 1099 nucleotides long. RefSeq lists it as uncharacterized. The record is from RefSeq and is a predicted model, not a curated record. The transcript is spliced from 4 exons. NCBI's taxonomy places the organism in Eukaryota, Metazoa, Arthropoda, Insecta, Diptera, Drosophilidae.